AGUGAACGCUGGCGGCGUGCUUAACACAUGCAAGUCGAACGAGAACGGAUUAUAGCUUGCUAUAAUUGUCAGCUAAGUGGCGCACGGGUGAGUAAUGUAUAGGUAAUAUGCCUCUUACUAAGGGAUAACAAAUGGAAACGUUUGCUAAUACCUUAUACUCCUUAUUAACCUAAGUUAAUAAGGGAAAGAUUUAUUGGUAAGAGAUUAGCCUAUAUUGUAUCAGUUAGUUGGUGGGGUAAUGGCCUACCAAGACUAUGACACAUAACUGGUUUGAGAGGAUGAUCAGUCACACUGGAACUGAGACACGGUCCAGACUCCUACGGGAGGCAGCAGUGGGGAAUAUUGCACAAUGGACGAAAGUCUGAUGCAGCAACGCCGCGUGGAGGAUGACACAUUUCGGUGCGUAAACUCCUUUUAUAUGAGAAGAUAAUGACGGUAUUAUAUGAAUAAGCACCGGCUAACUCCGUGCCAGCCGCCGCGGUAA
Molecule: ribosomal RNA, 484 nt
Filed under: uncultured bacterium
Lineage: Bacteria
Description: partial 16S ribosomal RNA
Rfam family: Bacterial small subunit ribosomal RNA
Source: RNAcentral